UAAUAAUAAAAUAUAAAGUGUUUUCUUUUAAUUAAAACGUUAAUUAAAAGACGAAAAUUUAUUAUCAACAUUUAAAUUUUUCCCGCGUUGCAUUCAUCAGCGCUCUUUUUAGUUACCUCGACGUCCACCAGAGUGUGUUCCUUUUCAGAAGGAAAAGAAAAAAAAAAAAAAGAAAAAGAAAAUGCAUCUCGUACAUUGAAAGUGUUUAUGGGUCGCGUCGUUUAUAGGUCUAUUGUUUUGAUUUUUAUAAGAUAAUGUAAGUUAUAUAGAUUGAUUGAGUCAAUUAAAUAAUUGAUAAUUUCACUCGAUACAAAGGAACAUAUUAAUAGAACAAAUAUGUUAGAAUUAGAAGGGCUUCUAAUAUUAGAAGCUUUACGUUAAAAUCGUGUAUACUAUUUUAACCUGACAAUGUACAACGCAUUUAAAUUGCUCACAAUUAUAUUGUAUUAUUCGACACAAUAUGUGAACGCCCAAUACUGUUAUCCAAAUUAUUGUCAAAAUGUUUCAACUAAGGUGUCAUUGCCUGGUCUUCAAUGUAGAAUAAAACCAAUCGAAGAUGAUGAUUGUAUUAAACUUAGAUUCGAUGGAUGGAAUCAUAUAUCUUUCCAGGAGAGUACGACUCAAUUUCAAUUGUCUGCUUAUGUUAUUAGUACAGGAACAUUUAAAGGAAAAUUGACUGCAUUUAAUUUAUCAAUUACCGAUAUUAAUUUUCUUAGGUUAACCACACGUUAUCAAAGUCUAAUGGAUGAAAAUAUAUCCGUGUGUACACAUAUUGCUUUACAUGGAAACACGACUGACUCAGUACCUAAUAGAUUCAUUUUAUCUUGUCCUUUUACAAAUCAAUCAUUUGAAGGUAGUCCUUAUCGUUUAGAAUAUUCUGUAAGUGGAAAAAGAUUUGAGUAUAGUAAAAAGCUUGUUUUCAUAAUACCUCAUCAUGAGUCUAUUGAUGAAAAUAAUGACAUUAAUGGAUACUUACCAUUCAUUUAUAUAGACGUUUCUGAUGCAUUGCUCUUCACGUUAUAUAUACAGCCAGUUCCUAAAAAAUUUAACGUAACUACGUAUAGAAUUUGGUUAACAAAUAAUAGCACGGGUAUAACGACCGACAUAAAAGUUUCUCAACCGAUAAAUGAAGAGCAUAUACAAUAUAAUUUUUCCAUAUUAGAUGGAAUCUAUUAUUUACAAGUAGCAGCUAUCCAUCCCAAUUGUAGCAUAUACGGAUGUAUUAAUGCCACUUCACCUUUCAUAAGUAUAAGAGAAGCAUCGCAUCGUUUACUCAUUAUGAUAAUUAGCAUUAUAUGGAUACCACCUGUGAUAUUAUAUGCGCUUUACCACAUAUAUAAGUUAUGUACAAAAAAUGCAAAGAAAGACAGAAAGAAACCAAAUUGUUUAAUAGUAUACUCGCCAACGCGCGAAUCACAUAUCACGGUUAUGGCAGAAUUAACAAAAUAUUUAAGAUGCUGUAAUAUUAAUGCCAUGAUAGAUAUGUUCGAUAUCUCGGAGACUGUAUCAAAGGACGUAGAACUUUGGUGUAGAAAUGCGUUUAAUUCUGCUGACAUUAUUCUCAUUGUGACUUCACCACCGUCUAACAAACUUGUACCGACAAUAUACGAGAACAUAGACACAUAUAUAUUGCAAUUGAUUAGAGAAAAUUAUGGGCAAAGAAAUAAAAGGUAUUAUAUUCUACAAUUGCCAUAUUGCAAAUCAACUGAUUUGCCGGACGAGGCAAAACGUUUUCAACGUUUUCGUAUGCCCGAAGAAUUAGCUAAAUUAGUCAGGACAGUUCACAAUAUUGAUUACAUUAGAUUCUUUGGUUUAUCAAAUAAGGAGGUACUAUUGGAAAGUAUAAAAUUAGCUCAAGUAGAGAUGUUAGACGAUGGCAGUGGUAGUGAUCACAAGAGUGCUGAUGAAACUGACGAUCUUUUACCAUCCGUAGUACCAAUAAAUAAUAUUAAAAACGAAGAUCUGAAUCACGAGGACGAUAACAAUUCAAUGUCUUCGAAUGUUGUUAAGGAUGAAUUUAAUAAUUCAUUGAAAAGAAAAUAUUGUGAACUUCAAGGUGAAAAAGCUAGGUGGACGAUCAUUGACAUAAGGUGAUUUUACUGUUUCGAUUGGAAAUGAAGCUAUUGGUUCCUGCCAAAAUGCAUGAAGUUUGUCUACUUUAUCGCACUUUGUCACAGGUUCCGACGAUGGUUUACUCAGCAUGAAGAGAAGCAAAGUAUGCCUGAUUAUGGACGGUUCUUGGAUUCAGAUCUAAAUAUUCUACUCCAUCCUCUAACAUGCGUUCCCAAUGACAGAUGAACGAUACUAUACUAUUAUUAUAAUUUUUGAUCUAUUAUAUAGAUGAUAACAUUAAAACAAAGAGAUAUUUAUCAAACAUUGAAACGAUAAAGUUUUAUAAUUGACCUUUUAUAAUUGAACAUGUAAUUAUAAUUUUAUAAUUGACUUUUGUAAUAUCGAUUAAUUUAUUACGA
Molecule: RNA transcript, 2471 nt
Organism: Vespa velutina
Lineage: Eukaryota; Metazoa; Arthropoda; Insecta; Hymenoptera; Vespidae
Exons: 12
Source: RefSeq, a predicted model, not a curated record